UACGGAGGGAGCUAGCGUUGUUCGGAAUUACUGGGCGUAAAGCGCACGUAGGCGGCUUUGUAAGUUAGAGGUGAAAGCCUGGAGCUCAACUCCAGAAUUGCCUUUAAGACUGCAUCGCUUGAAUCCAGGAGAGGUGAGUGGAAUUCCGAGUGUAGAGGUGAAAUUCGUAGAUAUUCGGAAGAACACCAGUGGCGAAGGCGGCUCACUGGCCCGGUACUGACGCUGAGGUGCGAAAGCGUGGGAGCAACAGG
This 251-nucleotide ribosomal RNA is filed under the name uncultured bacterium. Its description in RNAcentral is "partial 16S ribosomal RNA". It matches the Rfam family "Bacterial small subunit ribosomal RNA", at positions 524 to 776 of the family's 1533-position model. The record is from RNAcentral.